Molecule: ribosomal RNA, 253 nt
Filed under: uncultured bacterium
Lineage: Bacteria
Description: partial 16S ribosomal RNA
Rfam family: Bacterial small subunit ribosomal RNA
Source: RNAcentral
UACGGAGGGAGCUAGCGUUGUUCGGAUAUACUGGGCGUAAAGCGCACGUAGGCGGCGCCGUAAGUCAGGGGUGAAAUCCCGGAGCUCAACUCCGGAACUGCCCUUGAAACUGCAGUGCUAGAAUCUUGGAGAGGCGAGUGGAAUUCCGAGUGUAGAGGUGAAAUUCGUAGAUAUUCGGAAGAACACCAGUGGCGAAGGCGACUCGCUGGACAAGUAUUGACGCUGAGGAGCGAAAGCGUGGGGAGCAAACAGG